RNAcentral lists this small nuclear RNA (282 nucleotides) under Oryctolagus cuniculus (rabbit). RNAcentral describes it as "7SK RNA". It matches the Rfam family "7SK RNA". Rfam says of the family: 7SK was discovered as an abundant small nuclear RNA in the mid-70s but a possible function has only recently been suggested. Two independent studies have found that 7SK RNA binds the CDK9/cyclin T complex (known as elongation factor P-TEFb). The record is from Rfam by way of RNAcentral. Lineage: Eukaryota; Metazoa; Chordata; Mammalia; Lagomorpha; Leporidae.
GGAUGUGAGGGCGGUCUGGCUGCGACAUCUGUCUCCCCGUUGACUGCCAGGGUUAAUUCGGCUGAUCUGGCUGGUUAGGUGGGUGUCCCCUUCCUCCCUCACUGCUCCAUGUGCAUCCCUCCUAAAGCUGCACACUAGAGGAGGACCCAUCUUCCAUCAAGGGUAUAGGAGUAGCUGUGCUCCCCUGCUAGAACCUCCAAACAAGCUCUCAGAGAUACAUUUACUUUGGUGCACAAAAAUUUCCAGAUCCAUGCAUAGUUUUCUUAUGAUAAAGAUUUUUAU